Molecule: unclassified non-coding RNA, 220 nt
Filed under: fungal sp.
Lineage: Eukaryota; Fungi
Description: partial internal transcribed spacer region
Rfam family: Eukaryotic small subunit ribosomal RNA (bases 1-46)
Source: RNAcentral
AAGUCGUAACAAGGUCUCCGUAGGUGAACCUGCGGAGGGAUCAUUACCGAGUGAGGGCCCUCGCGGGUCCGACCUCCCAACCCUUUGUUGACCGUACUUUGUUGCCUCGGGGCCGCCCGUGAGGGCGCCCCAGAGGACCCGAAUCAAAACCCUGCGUCUGUGCGUCGGAGUAAACUUGAUAAAUCAAUCAAAACUUUCAACAACGGAUCUCUUGGUUCUG